Long non-coding RNA from Phragmites australis (common reed), 1270 nucleotides. RefSeq lists it as uncharacterized. Lineage: Eukaryota; Viridiplantae; Streptophyta; Magnoliopsida; Poales; Poaceae. The record is from RefSeq and is a predicted model, not a curated record. The transcript has 2 exons.
UUAACCUAUUUUUAAGGUUCCAUGGCUUGCCAUAGAUACCUGGUCGCCCCCAUUUUUUUCGUGAAUCCGAUCUCCCCGCCGGCGGCGAUCCAAAUCCACCAGGGCGAGACCCCCUCUCGUCCCCGCGGCACACCACCGUGACCUCGUAUUUUUUGGAGCCAACUACCUCCACACGCAUGCGGGGGUCGCCAAUUGACAGCGACGGAGUGGGCUGCGACGAACUCGAGCAGCUAGGGAGAAUACGAGCUCGGCUGCGUUUGUCCCGUCGCCAGAUAUGGUCGGGGGUGCGAAUCCCCUCCUCUUCGUCCAUCUCUAGCAGAUCUAGUGGCGCUCUACUCUAGCAGAAGGGGUUCAGCGACGACUAGCCUACGAGGUCCAGCCGGGUGGGGUGGCGAUCUACUCUCUCUCGCAUCCCCUGCUGGACAAGAUUGAUCAGGAACUAUUGGGCCGUCCACCUGAUGGAUUUGUGCCUGGUGGAUGGACACAUCUGUUGAACACAACCGUGAAAGGAAGACUGUUGAACGUGUGCAAGAUCUCCGCCCAGGGCCUGGUGCCGACAGAUUAAAGAAACUUGUCAUAGGUUUGCUCACCCAAGAAGGUUUUCAUGGCAAGCAUUGCUUGUGAAACUCCCAGCAAGAUGGUUAUGGGGUAGAUUACACGGUCAAAUCUUGGGGGACAAUGAGCCAUUAGCUAGUGAUUUCUACUACCUGAAGAAGCAGCACGUAGCAUCAAAUCUUCGGGGAUGCAAUGGUAAGAUUGGUGCUCUUAUAGACAACUGCUUGAGUUGAGUUACCAUACAGCAGGAGACCACUGAUGUAUCAGGCAGAGAUUAUACAGAACUAGUAGCUCAUUAGGUUAUGUUAGAUGAUUAUAUCAGGCCCCAACCAUUAAUAAUGUUGGAAUUGUUUACAUCUCUGCUCUGCGGCUUGUGCAAGGUGGUCCAUUCUUCAUUCAGAAGCCAUGGCUCCCGGUGUUCACCAACUAUUAGCGUGUGAGACUUCGUUGUAUUGAACUAUUGAUUAGUGGAAAUUUCAGGGCAAACUGAUACAUUUGAUUGCACACGUAUUCUUUUAUUUCUUCCCCUUUUUUGGAUUUGGAUGAGUAUAGCAAAAUGCUUAUGCCGUUCUUCCCUACAUUUGGUCAAUUUGCGCAUUUCUGUUUGUGCGUGUGGUGGAGAGAGAGUUAGCAAAUGCAGUUGAGAUUUGGAACAUCAUGUGUUUUGUGUUGUUUUCUGGAGUCUUGAUCGUUUAUAAAGUGGGUUUCAACUUCA